This 399-nucleotide ribosomal RNA is filed under the name uncultured bacterium. Its description in RNAcentral is "bacterial SSU rRNA". It matches the Rfam family "Bacterial small subunit ribosomal RNA", at positions 509 to 906 of the family's 1533-position model. The record is from RNAcentral.
CAGCAGCCGCGGUAAUACGUAGGGCGCAAGCGUUGUCCGGAAUUAUUGGGCGUAAAGAGCUCGUAGGCGGUUUGUCGCGUCUGUCGUGAAAGCCCACGGCUUAACCGUGGGUCUGCGGUGGAUACGGGCAGACUAGAGGCAGGUAGGGGAGAAUGGAAUUCCCGGUGUAGCGGUGAAAUGCGCAGAUAUCGGGAGGAACACCGGUGGCGAAGGCGGUUCUCUGGGCCUGUUCUGACGCUGAGGAGCGAAAGCGUGGGGAGCGAACAGGAUUAGAUACCCUGGUAGUCCACGCCGUAAACGUUGGGCGCUAGGUGUGGGGUUCUUCCACGGAUUCCGCGCCGUAGCUAACGCAUUAAGUAUCCCGCCUGGGGAGUACGGCCGCAAGGCUAAAACUCAAAG